Non-coding RNA from Paramarasmius palmivorus, 93 nucleotides. The record is from the annotation of a GenBank genome assembly. Lineage: Eukaryota; Fungi; Basidiomycota; Agaricomycetes; Agaricales; Marasmiaceae.
ACACCGUUGGUGAAGUGGUUAUCAUGCUUGCCUUCCAUUCCAUAGAGUUGAAAAGCAGAGCAAGCGGCUCGGGUUCGAUUCCCGAACGGUGUA